RNAcentral lists this ribosomal RNA (366 nucleotides) under Bacillus cereus. Its description in RNAcentral is "bacterial SSU rRNA". It matches the Rfam family "Bacterial small subunit ribosomal RNA", at positions 1 to 354 of the family's 1533-position model. Lineage: Bacteria; Bacillati; Bacillota; Bacilli; Caryophanales; Bacillaceae. The record is from RNAcentral.
UUUAUUGGAGAGUUUGAUCCUGGCUCAGGAUGAACGCUGGCGGCGUGCCUAAUACAUGCAAGUCGAGCGAAUGGAUUAAGAGCUUGCUCUUAUGAAGUUAGCGGCGGACGGGUGAGUAACACGUGGGUAACCUGCCCAUAAGACUGGGAUAACUCCGGGAAACCGGGGCUAAUACCGGAUAACAUUUUGAACCGCAUGGUUCGAAAUUGAAAGGCGGCUUCGGCUGUCACUUAUGGAUGGACCCGCGUCGCAUUAGCUAGUUGGUGAGGUAACGGCUCACCAAGGCAACGAUGCGUAGCCGACCUGAGAGGGUGAUCGGCCACACUGGGACUGAGACACGGCCCAGACUCCUACGGGAGGCAGCAG